This 1999-nucleotide long non-coding RNA is filed under the name Homo sapiens (human). RNAcentral's name for it is "HSALNT0363367". The record is from RNAcentral. Lineage: Eukaryota; Metazoa; Chordata; Mammalia; Primates; Hominidae.
AAAAAAAAAAAAAAGAGAUGAGAGGGGAAUGGAAUAUGACCAUUUCUCUCUUAGUGAGCCUCUCAAGUUUGCAUGAGAGUAGGUUAGAAACAGCUGUUAAAUGCAAGUUGAGGAUCAUUUGUAGAAAUUAUUCAAGGCUGUUUCUCCUUUAUCCUACAGUCACGUAUAAACUAGAAUUAUUUAGAAGGUUUCAAAAGAUUCUUGUCACUAUAUUUUGUUCUUUUCUGUACCCAGUUAUCAAGUAGACAGCCUUAUUCUUUCAGACUUAGUCUAAUGAGAGCUAAAUAAUUUCUUGAGAGAAUUUGCUUGUGCUCAAAUAUGUCCUCACUGAAGCCUUAGCCCAGUUACUCAGUGAUCUCCUUUUGUGUAAUUCAGAACUUAAUUAUGCACUGUCACGUUUGUUGGUUAAUUGUUUGAUAUACUUAAAUCCUGUCCUUUCAACUAGGUUAUGAAUUGCUCAAAAGCAGAGAUUAUGCCCAUUUUUUUCUUUUUCAGCUCCUAGCACAGAGCUAAGUACAGAGAAUAUGUACAGUAAAAGGCUGAUGGAGGUCUUUCUGGGAACACUCUAUCAGCGGUACUCUGUCCUUCCUGCUGGUGGCAAUGGGAAUGUUCUCUGCAAGGGCUCACGAGGGCUUGCAUGCCUAUGAAGUGGAAGAGAAAUGGCUUGAGGUGCAGGGAAUGAGGGGACAGGCCAGGAACUCUCGGCCUAAUUAUAAUAGCUAUUGCCUCGCUGCUUUUAUUGGACUGCUCUUAUUGGAAGGAAAUUGAUCCCAAAGAGAGUCAAAGACAGGCUAAAACACUGAACUCAUAAAAAUAUGAAAAGUAAGCGGUGAGAGCAGAUCAAGGGACCAAGAUUCGUUGUUUUGUUAUUGUUUUAUUAAUGAUGGUCUAGGACUUCCAAAUGGAGUUUUAAAAGUUGAAAAUAAAUGACCUGUUACUAAUAUAUUUUCAGAAUGCCUAUGUAGAGAGGAAGAUUAUUUCUCAGCUGAGUAACGUGGGAUCCUCCUUUAAAAGUCCUUUGGACUCUAAUCAUCUUUGUAAUACUCUGUUUUACUUUGAAGGCAGACUCAACUUCUUAGAGUUCCAGCACAUUGAGCCCUGUUUGUCUCAUCCAUCUUUUCACUGACCUUCCAAAGGUGGACUGGCUGGAGAACCCCAGCUGUCCAUUGUGUUUGAAAUCCCUUUAAGUAGGGACUCGGCUAGAGGUGUUCUUCUGCCUGAUCCCCAGAUGAAAAGGACGGGAGGGGAGUGACAGAGGAGUCUUCAGCCAGCUGCCAUAUCCCCAUGCCGGACCAUGGAACCUGACUUCCAGCGCACUGUAGCAGAGAGCCCACAUCCUUCUACAACUCCAACAACUGGUUCAGUACCAGGCGCAGAGUGAAUGUUCUCUAAAUGUGGGCAGUGUUGAUGAGUGAAGAAUCUUAAGCAGAGAAGAAACUCAUGUCCCUGACUGACUCCUGUGAGACGUUUAUCUUGCAGUGAGUUUAUUCAGCAGCCACAAAUCAAUUUGAAGGUGGAAAAUGUUUGCUUUGAAAACAAGGAAAAACCUAACCCAUCAGAAGCGUUCAUGAUUAGCAGUCUGCAAAAGUUGAUCAUACACAUUGAGUUAUCCUCGUCAUACCCAACCAAAACAGAGCCGAGAAACUAGGGGAAAGGCACUCAAGGCAUUGCUCCAGAAAUGGAAUUCUCUGCAAACCUGGCUGCUGAAACUGCCUGCUAUAACCUGAAACCUGUUUUAUCUGAUGUCUACUGUGACGACGUGCUGCAGCUCUAAGACUAGCUUUGCCCACCACUCUCACUCACCUAUCAGAGAUUGCCAGUUUCCCAAAACCUUUCUUGUGCCGAUGAACUUUCUCAAAGAGCAAUAGUAACAUUUCUCUUUUUUAUAAAACAUCUAAGCUUCUCUUUGUUCUUUGGACAUACUGAAGACUACCUGAUCUACAGGUAUGCUCCCAAUUGCAGCAGUUUUUUUCUUCUCAAAUAAAACAUUUGAAUUUCA